Molecule: transfer RNA, 71 nt
Filed under: Streptomyces sp. T1317-0309
Lineage: Bacteria; Bacillati; Actinomycetota; Actinomycetes; Kitasatosporales; Streptomycetaceae
Description: tRNA-Sec
Rfam family: tRNA
About the family: Transfer RNA (tRNA) molecules are approximately 80 nucleotides in length. Their secondary structure includes four short double-helical elements and three loops (D, anti-codon, and T loops). Further hydrogen bonds mediate the characteristic L-shaped molecular structure. tRNAs have two regions of fundamental functional importance: the anti-codon, which is responsible for specific mRNA codon recognition, and the 3' end, to which the tRNAs corresponding amino acid is attached (by aminoacyl-tRNA synthetases). tRNAs cope with the degeneracy of the genetic code in two manners: having more than one tRNA (with a specific anti-codon) for a particular amino acid; and 'wobble' base-pairing, i.e. permitting non-standard base-pairing at the 3rd anti-codon position.
Source: RNAcentral
GCCCCCGUUGUGUAGCGGCCUAGCACGCGCCCCUCAAGGCGGUAGCGCCGGUUCGAAUCCGGUCGGGGGUA